RNAcentral lists this ribosomal RNA (481 nucleotides) under uncultured bacterium. RNAcentral's name for it is "bacterial SSU rRNA". It matches the Rfam family "Bacterial small subunit ribosomal RNA", at positions 28 to 507 of the family's 1533-position model. The record is from RNAcentral.
GAUGAACGCUAGCGGCAGGCUUAACACAUGCAAGUCGAGGGGUAGAAGCAGCUUGCUGCUUUGAGACCGGCGCACGGGUGCGUAACGCGUAUGCAAUCUACCUUUUACAGAGGGAUAGCCCAGAGAAAUUUGGAUUAAUACCUCAUAGUAUGUGAGAAUCGCAUGGUUUUCACAUUAAAGUUCCAACGGUAAAAGAUGAGCAUGCGUCCCAUUAGCUAGAUGGUAAGGUAACGGCUUACCAUGGCGACGAUGGGUAGGGGUCCUGAGAGGGGAGAUCCCCCACACUGGUACUGAGACACGGACCAGACUCCUACGGGAGGCAGCAGUGAGGAAUAUUGGACAAUGGGCGCAAGCCUGAUCCAGCCAUGCCGCGUGCAGGAUGACGGUCCUAUGGAUUGUAAACUGCUUUUGUACAGGAAGAAACACUCCCUCGUGAGGGGGCUUGACGGUACUGUAAGAAUAAGGAUCGGCUAACUCCGUG